CAGUCGCCACGGGAAUACGUAGGGUGCGAGCGUUGUCCGGAAUUACUGGGCGUAAAGGGCUCGUAGGUGGUUUGUCGCGUCGUCUGUGAAAUUCUGGGGCUUAACUCCGGGCGUGCAGGCGAUACGGGCAUAACUUGAGUGCCGUAGGGGUAACUGGAAUUCCUGGUGUAGCGGUGAAAUGCGCAGAUAUCAGGAGGAACACCGAUGGCGAAGGCAGGUUACUGGGCAGUUACUGACGCUGAGGAGCGAAAGCAUGGGUAGCGAACAGGAUUAGAUACCCCGGUAGUCCCUGUCUCUUAUA
Molecule: ribosomal RNA, 301 nt
Filed under: uncultured bacterium
Lineage: Bacteria
Description: partial 16S ribosomal RNA
Rfam family: Bacterial small subunit ribosomal RNA
Source: RNAcentral